GUUGAUUUAUUUUUUUUAUUGAAAAAUAAUUAAUUACCAAAUAUGAACCAACGGAAGGAAUUGAAUAUACGUAAUACAGACUAUUUAAUUACCAGGAUUGAUAUUAAUAAUUAAUUAAAAAUUAUGUUGAAAAAUUUGAGAAAAUUAUUUAUGAAAUGACUGACAAUUUUGACAAAAUAAUUUUUAGAUGACAAUUCUAGGUGUCAAAUUGAUCAGGAACUUGUUCUUCAGUAUCCAUCGUCCGAAUUACAUUAAUAUUGUCUUGCUCGGAGACAAACUUGCUCACGAAAUAGGGCAUUCUAUUGACUACUCUUACUUAGAUGCCAUUCACUCGAAAGUUAACGAUAGUAAAUAGAGUGAAUUGUCGAAACAAAAAUAUUAUGAUACACGAAAGUGUAUCGCACAGCAGUACAGCAAUUAUUCUAGCAAAGUAACUGGAAAGAAAGUAAAUGGUGAACUCUAUGUGAUGGAAUACAUUGCUGACAAUAUUGGCAUCCAAGUUGCUUAUUCAGCCUAUCAAGAUUGGGUCAAAACACAUGGACCUCAACCAACUUUUUCUAGCUUGCCGUUCAACUCGAAUCAAUUAUUUUGGCUAACAUUCGCUAAUCAAUGGUGCUUGCCGAAAUCGUCAUUGCAAAACUGGAGUUCAACCGAUAUUCAUCCUCAGUUUGAUCAUGGUGUUAUUAUUCCGCUUUCUAAUAGCCCAGAAUUUUCAAAAGAUUUCAAUUGUCCCUUAGGAUCUAACAUGAAUCCAGUAAAAAAAUGUAUUGUGUUGUAAUUGAAAUUACCAAAUAGUAUUGUUCAUCCCUCUUCUAGUUAUAAACAAUACUUUUC
Microplitis demolitor is the source of this 834-nucleotide long non-coding RNA. RefSeq lists it as uncharacterized. The record is from RefSeq and is a predicted model, not a curated record. The transcript is spliced from 3 exons. NCBI's taxonomy places the organism in Eukaryota, Metazoa, Arthropoda, Insecta, Hymenoptera, Braconidae.